This 505-nucleotide ribosomal RNA is filed under the name uncultured bacterium. RNAcentral's name for it is "partial 16S ribosomal RNA". It matches the Rfam family "Bacterial small subunit ribosomal RNA", at positions 28 to 507 of the family's 1533-position model. The record is from RNAcentral.
GACGAACGCUGGCGGCGUGCCUAAUACAUGCAAGUAGAACGCACAGUUUAUACCGUAGCUUGCUACACCAUAAACUGUGAGUUGCGAACGGGUGAGUAACGCGUAGGUAACCUGCCUGGUAGCGGGGGAUAACUAUUGGAAACGAUAGCUAAUACCGCAUAAUAUUGAUUAUUGCAUGAUAAUUGAUUGAAAGAUGCUAUUGCAUCACUACCAGAUGGACCUGCGUUGUAUUAGCUAGUAGGUGAGGUAACGGCUCGCCUAGGCGACGAGACAUAGCCGACCUGGGAGGGUGAUCGGCCACACUGGGACUGAGACACGGCCCAGACUCCUACGGGAGGCAGCAGUAGGGAAUCUUCGGCAAUGGACGAAAGUCUGACCGAGCAACGCCGCGGUAGUGAAGAAGGUUUUCGGAUCGUAAAGCUCUGUUGUAAGGGAAGAACGGGUGUUGGAGUGGAAAGUUCACACUGUGACGGUAUCUUACCAGAAAGGGACGGCUAACUACGUG